This 523-nucleotide ribosomal RNA is filed under the name Tabanus striatus. Its description in RNAcentral is "partial 28S ribosomal RNA". The stretch from base 1 to 374 matches the Rfam family "Eukaryotic large subunit ribosomal RNA", at positions 289 to 664 of the family's 3401-position model. The record is from RNAcentral. Lineage: Eukaryota; Metazoa; Arthropoda; Insecta; Diptera; Tabanidae.
AAUUGGGCUGGUAACUCCAUCUAAACUAAAUAUAACCAUGAGACCGAUAGCAAACAAGUACCGUGAGGGAAAGUUGAAAAGAACUCUGAAUAGAGAGUUAAAAAGUACGUGAAACUGCUUAGAGGUUAAACCCGAUGAACCUAAAUAUCCAGUAUGAGAAAGUCAUUAUUAUGAGUAUAUUAUUUUAUAAUGUAUUAAUAGUGUGCAUUUUUUUCAUAAAAAGGACAUUGUAAUCUGUUAAUACAAUUUAUAUAUUCUUUUAUAUAUUAUUUUUAUCAUAAAGAGUCAUGUAUAAGUUUACAUAUAAAUUAAUUAAUUUAUUAAUUAAUUGAUGUAAGAUCAAUGAGGUUCUACAGGAAUAAUUCUCAGUAUUAUUAUAUAUAAUGUUUACACCCUUUUUUAAGAUUUUUUUUACAAUUUCCCCCCGGGGCUCCGUUUGGGAUGGGGGUCCGGGGGUUUUAUUAAAAUUUGCAAGAGGAUUUAGGCCCCCUUUUGGGCGCCCCCACAAAAAAAAAAAAAAAAU